CCUACGGGAGGCAGCAGUGGGGAAUAUUGCGCAAUGGGCGAAAGCCUGACGCAGCGACGCCGCGUGAGGGAUGACGGCCUUCGGGUUGUAAACCUCUUUCAGCAGGGACGAAGCGAAAGUGACUGUACUUGCAGAAGAAGCGCCGGCUAACUACGUGCCAGCAGCCGCGGUAAU
RNAcentral lists this ribosomal RNA (174 nucleotides) under uncultured bacterium. RNAcentral's name for it is "partial 16S ribosomal RNA". It matches the Rfam family "Bacterial small subunit ribosomal RNA", at positions 338 to 524 of the family's 1533-position model. The record is from RNAcentral.